ACCUAACUUCAUCCCCACCCUAUCGAGAUUUCUUCUUUUUCUUCCUUCCUUCUCUCUUUCUCUCUCUUCUUUCACACCCUAAAACCCUAACUAACCACAAUUUCUCACAGAAAUGGUGUUUCACCAUCGCAGAAAGCUCAUGCCAGAAAUCUGCGAGUCCCUCUGCCACGUGGAGUAGAAUUGUUCUUCAAACUGUGAUGAUUGCCUCAAAAUCUGCAUCACCAACCCCCAAUACUACUAUUAUUCCCAACCACCGCCACCGCCACUGCCACUGAUUCCUCCUCUCCCCUUAGACGAUAUAUCAGACCAUGGAAAAAGCCACGCGCUCUUGCCCUACUUGGUCCUUGCUCUCUCCGUUAUCGGAGUUGCUUUCUUCGUUGUUAUUUGCUGUGCAAUCUUCACGAGGAUCUUCAGAAGGAGGAGAAGAUCCUUAUCGCCACCGUUGAGUCUUCGAACACAGGAUAAUACGCGUGAUGAUUUCUUCAUUGAUGAGGAGCACGGUCCUGUGGUGGACCACCCGAUCUGGUUCUUGAGUGUUUUGAACUUCAACCCGAUAACAGUGUGUUUCUAGAGCUAAUUCUUAUAUUCCCGAAGG
Non-coding RNA from Arachis ipaensis, 595 nucleotides. The record is from RefSeq and is a predicted model, not a curated record. NCBI's taxonomy places the organism in Eukaryota, Viridiplantae, Streptophyta, Magnoliopsida, Fabales, Fabaceae.